GGUGUGUUUGGGGGUCCCUCAGCCUUGAUUGCAAGAGGGCGCAGGCUAGGCUGAGGGACCCCACUGGUGCAUG
This 73-nucleotide microRNA precursor is filed under the name Myotis brandtii (Brandt's bat). Its description in RNAcentral is "mir-9193 microRNA precursor family". It matches the Rfam family "mir-9193 microRNA precursor family". Lineage: Eukaryota; Metazoa; Chordata; Mammalia; Chiroptera; Vespertilionidae. The record is from Rfam by way of RNAcentral.